This 67-nucleotide transfer RNA is filed under the name Dardanus aspersus. Its description in RNAcentral is "tRNA-Met". The record is from RNAcentral. Lineage: Eukaryota; Metazoa; Arthropoda; Malacostraca; Decapoda; Diogenidae.
AAAAAGAUAAGCUAAAUUAAGCUUACGGGCUCAUACCCCGUCUAUGGGCUAUAAAUCCCUCUUUUUA